UCCCAGGUGGUCUAGUGGUAAGGAUUUGGCACUUUCACUGCUGUGGCCUGGGUUCAAUCCUUGGUCUGGCAA
RNAcentral lists this transfer RNA (72 nucleotides) under Sus scrofa (pig). It matches the Rfam family "tRNA". From Rfam's summary of the family: Transfer RNA (tRNA) molecules are approximately 80 nucleotides in length. Their secondary structure includes four short double-helical elements and three loops (D, anti-codon, and T loops). Further hydrogen bonds mediate the characteristic L-shaped molecular structure. tRNAs have two regions of fundamental functional importance: the anti-codon, which is responsible for specific mRNA codon recognition, and the 3' end, to which the tRNAs corresponding amino acid is attached (by aminoacyl-tRNA synthetases). tRNAs cope with the degeneracy of the genetic code in two manners: having more than one tRNA (with a specific anti-codon) for a particular amino acid; and 'wobble' base-pairing, i.e. permitting non-standard base-pairing at the 3rd anti-codon position. The record is from Rfam by way of RNAcentral. Lineage: Eukaryota; Metazoa; Chordata; Mammalia; Artiodactyla; Suidae.